Molecule: small nucleolar RNA, 133 nt
Organism: Sorex araneus (European shrew)
Lineage: Eukaryota; Metazoa; Chordata; Mammalia; Eulipotyphla; Soricidae
Product: small nucleolar RNA SNORA61
Exons: 1
Source: RefSeq, a predicted model, not a curated record
UACCUCCCAUUCCCUUUCCCAUCAGAUCGGAACACUUGUCUUGGUGGUCGCAAAAGGAGGAACAGAAGUACUGAAGCUGGCUUCACAGGGCUCAAAGUCUGCCGUGUUGCACAUAGACUAGUUUCAAACAGGA